GUAAUCUUUUGGUAUAAUCUGUCGGUAACCUUUAGGUAUAAUCUGUCGGUAAUCUUUAGGUAUAAUCUGUCGGUAACCUUUAGGUAUAAUCUGUCGGUAAUCUUUAGGUAUAAUCUGUAGGUAAUCUUUAGGUAUAAUCUGUAGGUAAUCUUUAGGUAUAAUCUGUAGGUAAUCUUUAGGUAUAAUCUGUAGGUAAUCUUUAGGUAUAAUCUGUAGGUAAUCUUUAGGUAUAAUCUGUAGGUAAUCUUUAGGUAUAAUCUGUAGGUAAUCUUUAGGUAUAAUCUGUAGGUAAUCUUUAGGUAUAAUCUGUAGGUAAUCUUUAGGUAUAAUCUGUAGGUAAUCUUUAGGUAUAAUCUGUAGGUAAUCUUUAGGUAUAAUCUGUAGGUAAUCUUUAGGUAUAAUCUUUAGGUAUGACCUGUAGGUAAUCUUUAGGUAUGACCUGUAGGUAAUCUUUAGGUAUAAUCUGUCGGUAAUCUUUAGGUAUAAUCUGUCGGUAAUCUGUCGGUAAUCUAGGUAUAAUCUGUAGGUAAUCUUUAGGUAUAAUCUGGUGUCUCUGCAUGCAGUAUCCUGGUAUGUUGUGUUGAUAUGACGAUACUAAAUGAACGAGCCAGCAGCACCAAAUAAGGCAACGGUACAAGCAUCAACCUCUAAUACUGAAUGGAAAUUAUGCAAAUGAACUGAGAGAGAGAGAGGAGAGAGGAGAGAGG
Molecule: long non-coding RNA, 707 nt
Organism: Oncorhynchus keta (chum salmon)
Lineage: Eukaryota; Metazoa; Chordata; Actinopteri; Salmoniformes; Salmonidae
Exons: 3
Source: RefSeq, a predicted model, not a curated record